RNAcentral lists this long non-coding RNA (32814 nucleotides) under Nicotiana tabacum (common tobacco). RNAcentral's name for it is "long non-coding RNA (NTAB_LNC006204)". The record is from RNAcentral. Lineage: Eukaryota; Viridiplantae; Streptophyta; Magnoliopsida; Solanales; Solanaceae.
AAUAGGACACAAUAAUUUUUAUACCGGUGAGGUACUUACAUCUAGUUUCCCUUGGGUCACAAGGGACUUCUUAGAUCUUUGAUAAUAGGUUACAAUGAUGAUGGUUUUGGUUCGCUCACCAUCAACAACAUUCAGUGAUAAUGCCUUUUGUAAUGUUGACACAACUUUCUUUUUGUGUUCUAUCUCUUCCUAUCUUUUAUGACACUUGUAGACUCAAGAAUACAAUGUUUGUACUAAGAACUAGAAAGGUUUAGAAUCAGUUUAUGUAGUUGCGCAUCCAAUCCUUGAGUAUGCCACUCUUCUUAUAGACCAGAUUUUAGAGCUGUUGUUGAUUUGUUUUUGAUAUUUGAUUCAUGACUCAUGCCUUUAAUUCCUUCAAGAAGGAUGGGCUGGAUUUAAUAAUCUAGUGUUCCAAGCCGAGAUCUAGAGAGUGCUUCCAUGCUCCAUGCUUUGUCGAAGAAAGGAGUAGAUGGGCUGGAUUAGUUUAUCCAGGGAGUGCUUUCCAUGCUCCAUGCUUUAUUGGGUAGAGGAACAAUACUUCAAGUUGUCUCCCAUUAUAUUAUGUUUCCCUUCCACUUUGAAUCUUCCUUCAUACAUGAUCUGCUAUUUGUAUUUGCAGGUGAGUUAUAUAUAAGGCAAUGGUUCAAAAUACAUAGCCAUUGAGCAGAUCUUCAUUCCUUUUUGGCAAUGCUUGCUUCACCUGAAUCUGCAUACACUAAUAUAACAUUAGUCAAGACUUCUUUAUGGAUAUUUGAUCAUUAUUAAAAUUCUACACUUAACCGUCAUUAGUUUAUCAUUCAUCAGAUGAAGUCAUAAAUUCCUAAUAUAUAGAGGAAAGAAAAUCCCUUGCAAAGGGAGCACUGUUGCAGGCUAAAAACCUUGACUUAAACUGGUGUUUCCGUUGAUGUUUUGAUGUAGAAACUAUAAGCUGAGCACACAAAUGAUAGAAAGGCAUGUAGGAGAGAUAUCUGGUUUGAGUUUGAGAUAAAUGAGGCAACUGCAGUAACUAGUAGCUGAGAUAAGAAUUUAGUUUGAGAAUGUUCAAAUGAAUAACUAGCUAGCUAGUUUCUUGCCACCUAUAACCAAGAUCCUGGAGCAUCUGUUAAGAAGUCAAAGGAGAAAAGCUCCUGGCCUCUGAUACUUUUGCAGCUGUGGCUACUCGUUGCUGCAUUGCUUGACAAUCGAUAAUUGGCUUACUUUUCUAAGAUGCUUCUUACAUCAAGCAACCCAAUCAUUAAACAUAAUGACCAUAAAUAUCUAAAUAACUUGUCCCUAUACGGUUAUCUGUGGGCACUACAAAUGCUAGCUAAACUGAUUUUCUGGCUUUCUACGAUUCUUGUUUUACCACUACAAGUGAUCUUGUUUAGAACCCUUUAUUCUGAUGAGAUAUAAGAGAGCAUCAACUCACUUGUCAAACCAAGAUCUUGCUAAAAGUAGUGGAGAACCCCAGCUAAAACAGUUUUAAGCAUUAUUUUGGCUAUAAUGAACACAUCCAGAGAGGGACAGCGCAUCUGCAAUCAUUCUUCUUUCUCUUAUGGUCACUAUCAUCAAUAUUGUUAUUAAAGGAUGAGUUGUUUCCUUUUUGAAAUAACUCGCUUGUAUAGAUAAGAAAAAUAUAUCUUAAUUAAGCACUAUUAGGGAAAAAAGCACAAGCUAAAACUUACCUUCUGACAGCACAAUAGGAAUAUGCAAAAUUCAAAAGCAACGGCUAUUUUUAUCAUUACCAUUAUGAUGUAGAUUCUGGCAAGUAUUAUUGAGGAAUAUUGGCCCCCUUUAUAGAAUGGUCACGCAUAUAGAAUAAAGGAUGAAACUUUGUCUGAGGUUCAUCUUGUCUGGUUAAAAAUGGUGAUUAGGAUUCCUCCUUAUCAAAUCCUAUGUCAACACUCGAGCUUCUGCGCUUAGGUGGAAUCAGCUACAGUUUCCAUGUCAGCAUUCACGGUCCCAAUAACUGGUCAAGCGACUUCAACUCAUUGUCAAUCUCGGAUUACUCUUGAUUUGCUUCACUAUGAAAACCAUGUUAUGUGUUUGUAUGAGAGGCCUGGAUUUUUUUCUGUGACUCAUCAAUGACCAUAGAUUGUGUAAUAUUCACUCAUUUCUUGCCACUUAUAACUGUGCGGAGAGUUUGUCAAUUCUUGGAUCUUUGCUUGAAAACUCUUACCAAUGCAUAAUAAACUAUCCCUUUAGUAAGGGAGUUCAGAUAUUAGCAUUCUCCUUUUAUGGCUUUUGAACCAAGGAAAAGUUAUAGUAUAACCUUACAAUCCUUUUCCUUUUAUGAAAAGAGAGAGAUCACUAAACUGAUUAUUGUCAAAGAUGGUUAACCUUAUAACUUAUCAUAAAAACAAUUACAGGGCUUCAAAGUCAUAAAGUUCAAAUCUUGUGCCAUGCAUCACAUUCAGAAUCUUCAGAGAAUUGAUGAAAAACAAAGGUAAACGUCGUGUGAUUGUAUACCUUAAUACAUUGUCUCAGGUACCAGUCAAGAAAGAGGUAUUUCUCUUAAAAUUGAUAUAUUAAAUACUGUCAGGAAUAACGCAACUCUCAUGUUUUGUUCCGAAUUAAUGUAUCACCUGUCUGUACCGAUAAAAGCUGUUAACAUUCUUAGCAAUCUAUUUGGUGAAACUAAGGACUGGUCUGAUAAUAUCUAGAGUGCUCUGAUUUCUAACACAUGCAUGACUAAACAGGAGAUGAAAAGAAGUCCACUUUUGAAUUAUUAAGAAGAAUAUUACACAAUAAGAAUAAUAGGACUUGAAUUUGCAUUAUGAGGGAAUUGAUUCCUUGGUGGUAAACUUUGUCACAGUUUUUGCCCCUUUAGAACCUGAACCAUUUUCCACCUGAACGACGUUAGCCUUCGUGUCAGGCAGUUGCUUGCAUUGGCAAUGUGGAUUACACACACUAAUCUAAUGUGUAAGCGUGAGAAUCCAAAUCAUCUCAAGGGUCCAUCUAUCUUAGCAAGAUCACGCGGUAAAAUAACCCCACCUUUCACAUAACAUCUUCCCCUCAUAACACCUACUAGAAAUGGAUACAGAACAAAGAAUAAUAUUUUGAGGAGCUCCUUUUUAGUAGAAUAAUGGACAGUCGAACAGGUAAGGAGGGGCAUUAUUGGACUUCUGCAAGAAAAUAUGCUUCACAUGCAUGAAUAUGACAGUCGACAACUUUAGAGAGCCAUACCUCUACAGUCAAUAAGGAAGGAAAGUAGUUGGUUUAUCCAACUCUUUUUUGGAAAAUUUGCGCUAUCUUGUGGAAUCUCAUUUAAGGAAACUGUUUGAAGUCACAAAACAGAUCAAAAAGUAAACUUUGGGCCCCAAACAAUGAGGUCUUCCAACUAUAUAUACCUCCCCAAACCAUUCAUCAAAAUUACCACUUACAGCAAACCAUUUCUUGAGCUUCAAGUUUACGUCUAGUUGAGAAGUUCAAGUCUUCAAAUUAUCAAGGUGAGGCAUCGAUGAUUUAGUUUCCUUUUGUGGUUCAUUUCAUUAUUCUUCCAGCUUCUACACAAAAAAGGAAGAAAAAUACAAUAACUUUAGUCUUGAGUCCAAGUUUUUCAAACAAACUAGGCCCUUAAAUACAAGAUUAAUGUGCUGCGAAAUUUUUUCCUAGAAUGAAAUAACUGUUCAUGUGUAAGCAAUGCAGUUCUAGCAUAUAGAACUGAGACCUUGUUGACUAUAACCAUGUAUAGAAUGAGGCCUCAAAGAUGGAUAACCAAUAAGAUUUAAUGGCCUAUUUUACUUCCCAUAUGAAAAUUUGUUCUCAUCAUAUUUUCAAGUUCAAUUUCAGGUAGACAUAAAAUGAGCAGUGGAGAUUGGAUGUGUGCUGCAUGCCAACACAUAAAUUUCAAGAAACGGGAUGCAUGCCAACGAUGCAGCUGUCCUAAAUAUGCAACGCCGGCUGAUGUUGCCAUGUAUGGACUAAACAAAGCAGAAGUCUUAGCUGGAGACUGGUAUUGCAGUGCGAUGAACUGUGGUUCUCACAACUAUGCGAGUCGAACAAACUGCUAUAGAUGUGGUGCCUUAAGAAGUGAUUAUUACGCUGUUGGGGCAGGAGUGAUGGCAUCAGCAGGUUAUGGAUAUGAUGCAAGUGCUAUUCCUGGUUGGAAGAGUGGUGAUUGGAUUUGCAGCAGGUCAGUUCAUAUUUACACAUUUCAUUUCCCAUGCAGUUCACUUACUCUAUAACAAUAACUACGCCUCAAUCCCGAGCAAGAUAGGCUUAACUGUAUGAAUCCUAAAGGUUAAUGUCUCUCCUUUUAAUCUCAUCUCUGUCCAAUACUGCAACAACACCAUCACUACUGUCCAAUAUCGCUCUAGUUAAACUCAUCUCAAACCAACAAUAUACAAAAUAAAAUUAAAAAAUACUAGAAGUUUACUAUAUUUUCUACUGGCAUAUAAAUCUCUGAUAAGACUAGGACUCCUAGAAAACAUUGUAUUAUGAGGAAUCAUCACAAGAUUGACUAGUUUUACGCUAACUGUUAGCCUGCCGCAAUUCUCCUCCUUUUACUACUGAUAUGUGCAGGUGACAUACUAUAGUUGGGAUUUUAACUAACAUAACUUCCUUGAUCGACAGAAUUGGAUGUGGUAUGCACAACUAUGCAAGCAGAGAAGAAUGUUAUAAAUGCAAGACACCUAGGGAUUUUUGUGAGACAUCUUCCAUGCGAUUCUGAUACUUCCUAUCAAUAUUUUACUUUCCAACACCAUUGUUUAUUUACUAACAUCUGUUAAUUUCUCUGUUUUUUAGGAGGUGAUCUGAGAGAAAGUGGAUUAUAUUGAGGGAUGCGGCGACAUUAAGUUAUUACUGAAGAUUUACCAGAAAUCAUAACCUUCAAUGACCUUUCUUCUUUUCCUUUUAGUUUUUCUUUUCUUGUUUAGUAGUUUCCUUGUAGUUGCUCAAAGAAGGGUUUGUAAGUCUAACUGCAUUGUAACUUUACAAAGUGUUCAAUGAAUGAAAUCCCUUCAGAUUUCGCAUUCUUUCUGUCUUUCAAGUUUCAACAACUGCAUUUGUAGGGGUGGUCCAAUAAAAUAAUUUUAUGUAUCCAAUGGAAGGAAUUGCUAGCGUAGGCUCGGGCCUUAUAUGUGUAAGAAAAGAAUAAAAGAAAGUAUAUAUAUAAAGAACCAGACCUACUGACUCUAAAUCCUAAAUACAGUGCUGUGGACUGUGGCUAGUGGCUUAGGUGAGUCUUCCCAACUUACUUUAAACAACACUUGUCACACCUCCUUUUUCUCGAUAGGGAUAGGGGAUAGGGGAUAAGGGAGUUUUUUUCAAUUUAAGUGACAUUAUUCGAAUUGAGAUUAUUUUUAUUUUUUUCAAAGUCGUCACUUGGAAUAUUUAGGGUGUUCCAAGUCACCGGUUUAUUUUAAAUCCCAAAUCGAGAAAAUUUGACUCGGUUUAUGUUCCGCAAACACAGAAGACCAGGUAAGGAAUUUUGUUAAUCCGAGAAAAGGUGCCAGACACUCGCGAAUUUCAUGAUUUUAGCACGGUCGCUUUAAUCAUACCUGGUUUAAUUAGAUUGUUUUAUCACGUAUUUUAAAACCUAAGUGCAUUUUACCUUUUACCGCUUUUAAUUAUGGCGUUUAUGGAUUUAAUCUUUGAAACAGACUACAUGUGUGUAAGUCUGCUUCGUUUGGGGCACUAAAAUCAUGUCACGCGAACGUGUACACAAUUAAUUGUGCUUUAUUAAUUUAAGAUUGUUUGGUCGAAGUUGCGCGAACGCAUACCUCGAUUUAAUUUUGGAUAUCGGGAUCACGUCACGCGGACAUGUACGCAUUCACGAUAGUAGUUUAAAAUCCGUGCCUAAAGCAUUUCUACGAGUGUUUAAUUAAGUCAUUUUAUUUACUAAGAUUGUUUGACCAUGAUCACACGAACAUGUACCUUGGUUUGUUUUUGGCAUCACAACUAUGUCACGCGUGCGUGUACAUGAUUGUAAUAAUUAAGUUGAUUAUAAAUACCUUGAGUUAUGCUUAUGUCUCUAAACUAAAUAUUCUAUGUCAUAUGGCUAAGUGUAAAGGUUUAAUACUAGGUGAUAUGUUUGUUUGUAUUAGAUGGGGGCAGCCUAUGUAUUAUCUGUCAAACAGGCCCAGAUUUAAAGUUUGAGGCCCGAUGAGGAUUGAGUCCAAAUGAACUUUAGCCCAAGACAUAUAUUUUCGUUAUUGGGCUUAGCUAAUGGAUUCAGUUCAAAAGGAUUUGGGCUUGUUUGAGUCUAAUUGACUGCCCAAUGCAUAUUUUAAGGCAGCUAAAUGAAUUCAAUCCAAACGAUUUGGGCCUAGUGAUCAUGGAGUCCAAAUGACUCUGGCCCAAUACCAUGUUGUUAAGCAAUCAAUCAAUUAAACACAUUUAAUUCAGAAAGAUCUAGGGCUAAUGAUGAGUCCAAAUGACUGUGACUUAAUGUUCAAUUUUAUAGACAACUAAAUGAAAUUAACUAAAGGCAUUUGGGCUUGGUGAUAAUGAGCCCAUGUGACUUUGGCACAACUCAAUGUUAUUAAGCAUUCAGUCAAUUAAACACAUUUAAUUCAGAAAGAUCUGGGCCUGAUGAUGAGUCCAAAUGACUCUGGCCCAAUGUUCAUUUUUAUGGACAACUAAAUAAAAUUAACUAAAGAUAUUUGGGCCUGGUGAUAAUGAGUCCAUGUGACUCUGGCCCAGUGCAUAAUUGUGUGAAUGAGUUUGAAAUUAAAAUUUAUAACAACAAUUAUCAGAUUUUACUUAUAUUUUGUUUAUCUUUUAAAACAGAAAACUAAAAAGGGUCUGGGGACACGAACCAAAAUUAAAAUUGGAUAAUUUCCUAUUAAUUGCUUAAAUCUCCUAUUUCUUAUAUUAACUUAUGUUAAAGUGAUAAGUUUUAAAACUCAUUUGCAUUUGAAAAUCUUAAAGUGUAAAGGCCUUUAAUCAACUCAUUUUUAUUAGCCAAAGACCCAGAAUACAAUCUUAUGGACCCAAUUGAUUUGGGCCUGAAUUCGUACCUUGAUUACUGUUAGGUUGCUUGUAAAAUCCAGCUUUUUAUGAUUUUAAACUAAUAGCAUUGGAAUUAGUAUAUUUUAAUUGUUUAAUAACAUAGUAAAGCUACUAACUAACGCAUUGCAUGAGAGGAUAUAAUAUAAAACAAAAUUAAAUUAUUACAUCUCACUAACAUGGACAGUGAUAACAAAUCUGUCUACUACUAAUCUAACAAAUUUUCUAGAAAAAAGAAAGAUUUUCUCUUUUUAACUAUUCGAACGUACCAAUCUUAUGACUAUAUGAAGCUUUAAACAGAUUUUAUAAUUUUUUCAGAACCCUUUAAAAUGAAGCUAAUAUAACUUAAAUUGCCUAAAACAGUGUAAAUAAUUAACUCUACAUGCUUUCAUACACAACUCUCAACCAAACAACUUCAAACAAUAUGAUUCAUGCAGUGCUCAGAUGAAGUAGAAAUUCUUGAUAACCAGCAAAAAUAAAACUUUACAUUGUUAAAAGAAAAUACCUUGAUAGCAGCAAGCAAACUACAGAUAAGAAAAUAAGUAUCUGAAAGCUUGAAGUAAAACAGCAGCAAUAAAACCCAAUAGAAUAAGAAGACGACCAGAUUUUUAAAAAUAGGAAAGGAAUGUAUAUUUUUGAUUCUCAAAGAUCAAGGUUGAUUUUCAAAAGUUUUUCUUUUGAAAGAGAGCAAAAUCUUAAGGCAGUCUAUAUGUGUCCAUAAUGUGUCUUCAUAUCCUUUUCUAAUGAAGAAAGAGGAGUGUAUUAUAUAGAGUGAGAGAGUGAAAAGGGAUGAGAAUUAGGUACAAAAGAAUCUGCUAGAAUUCCUUAUAAAUUAGGAAAAUGACAUCUUUCUUAACAGAAAUGGACAGUUGUCCAAUUUUUAGUACCUUUCUUAUCUCAGAAAAGGGACAAGUGUCUAAUUUUUGGAUAUUUUUGAAUCUUAUCCCUAUUUUCCUACUCAACAUUGGGACAGUUGUCCCUAUUCUAGAAGUUUCUAAUAUUUUCUAAAUAAUUUUCAGAAUUAGGAUUCCAAAACUGACCCUUAAGGGUCUUGGAAUUACCUCAGAACCAGAUUGGUUCUGGGCCUGAGUCGGGUGACUCUCGGCCGAAGGACUUUAGGAUCUUAAGCUUUUACAAAGUUAUGGGCCUGUCUAAAUAGACAGGCCCAAUUUAUGAGCCAAAUAGAACAAGUCACUUCAGUGAGGCCCAGUUCUUAACCAAACCAAAUAACAGUAAAAAUAAAUAAAAAAGAACGAAAAUUAAUUUAAUAAAAAUAAAUANNNNNNNNNNNNNNNNNNNNNNNNNNNNNNNNNNNNNNNNNNNNNNNNNNNNNNNNNNNNNNNNNNNNNNNNNNNNNNNNNNNNNNNNNNNNNNNNNNNNNNNNGACUCCCAUCUGGGAUCUGAAAUCCUUGAUGGGAGAUCUUGGCAGGAGGAUUAUUAAACGGACUAGGUUGGAUUUAGGGUUUUGAAAAAUAAAUCUAGGGUUUUGGAGACCCUAGAUCUAAGAUCUAUGAUUAUUGGUGGGGUUUUGGGAGAUUUGGUUGGUAAGGUGAGGUUUAGGGAGGUGAGGAGAGUGUAUAGGGUAAGUUUGGGUGGCUUUGGAGGUCCACCGCCGCCGUAGGGUGAUUUCCGACGGCGGCGUGGGAGGAGCGUUUUGGGGAGGCUAGGGUUUGGUUAGAGAGAGGUGAGAGACGGAGUCGUCUCUAGGGUUAGAGAGAGAGAUGUGAGAGAGGGGGGAGACGAAAUGAGGGGGUAGGAGAGGGUUUGGACACUUAUAUAUUAAGUGACAGGCGAGUUCCGAGCCGUUGGAUCUUGUGAAGAUCAACGACCAGGAUCGCCUGGCAUUUAGACGACGUCGUUUGGAUUAGUAUAGGGCUGGGCAGAUUCUGGGUAUUGGGCUCGGGUAUUUUGGGCUAAGUUUUGGGGAUUGUGCUAGGUUUUACACUGGCCCAGUCCGAUUUUAGGCUAAUUAAACUCUAUUUUAUUUAAUUAACUUUUAAAAAUCUAUUUAAUUUAAACAAAUCCUAAAUUAAGUGCUAAAUUAUCUUAAUUUAUAAAAUUAAACCAACUAUCUAUUUGUAUUAUUUACAUAAUUAGUUAAUCUUCAAUUAUUAAACGAAAAAAUUACUAAUUUUAACACUAAAACUAAAAAUGUCAAAAAUAAAACAUUUUAUGUGAUUUUCUUCUAAUAAUAUGAUCAAAUUAUGUAAUUAAAUACUAAAUUUAAUUAAAACCUAAUAAUGCUAUAUGAUGAGGAUUUAAAUAUUUUUGUUGUUUUCUAUGAUUUCAAAAAUGCUAAAAAUAGAUGAGAAAUGCAACUAAAUGCAAAUAAUUUCUAAUAAUUAACAAAAAUCCUAACAAGAAAUCUAAAAAAAAUAAAUAUGAAUAAUUUAUUUAUUAAUUUUGUAGGAGUAUUUUGGUAGGGUAAAAAUUACAUGCUCACAGAUGUCCCUCUUUGCUCGGAAACACGAAGAGUUUUCGGGCAAAGACAAAGUGAGCAUUCAUGGACCAAUUUUACCCGUUUUGAUACUCCAUGGGAAACGUUUUGAAAAUGUUUGACCGAACCUUGCUUCAAAGAUUGCCUACAUAUCCUUGGCUAUAAAGGAAUCAGGUUAGUGUAGUUCUGAAGGUUUUGGUAGCUGGGACUACCGGAAAACUAUGAUUUCACUACUGUUGUUGCUGUUACUGUUGUUGAACUCCUUAUUACACCAAAGUAAAAAAUGAAGAAAGCUAACUAAGUCUAUCAACUACGAGUUACAAGAUUCCUAUCUGUAAAUUUUUUGAAGUUUUGACUUGAGUCUUGGCUGGCUCUUUAUGCAGACUCUAAUCUGAAUCUUUGGAAAGUCAUCAGGUUAUGCUAGCAUCAUCAACUAGGGAGUGGAGACCCUAUGUUGGAAAGUCAUCAGGUUAUGCUGGCAUCAACUAGGGAGUGGAGACCCUAUGUUGGAAAGUCAUCAGGUUAUGCCGGCAUCAACUAGGGAGUGGGACCCUAUGUUGGAAAGUCAUCAGGUUAUGCUAGCAUCAACUAGGGAGUGGAGACCCUAUGUUGGAAAGUCAUCAGGUUAUGCUGGCAUCAACUAUGGAGUGGGACCCUAUGUUGGAAAGUCAUCAGGUUAUGUUGGCAUCAACUAGGGAGUGGAGACCCUAUGUUGGAAAGUCAUCAGGUUAUGUUGGCAUCAACUAGGGAGUGGAGACCCUAUGUUGGAAAGUCAUCAGGUUAUGUUGGCAUCAACUACGGAGUGGAGACCCUAUGUUGGAAAGUCAUCAGGUUAUGCUUGCAUCAACUAGGGAGUGGAACCCUAUGUUGGAAAGUCAUCAGGUUAUGCUGGCAUCAACUGGGGAGUGAGACCCUAUGUUGGAAAGUCAUCAGGUUAUGCUGGCAUCAUCAACUAGGGAGUGGAGACCCUAUGUUGGAAAGUCAUCAGGUUAUGCUGGCAUCAACUAGGGAGUGGAAGCCUAUGUUGGAAAGUCAUCAGGUUAUGCUGGCAUCAACUGGGGAGUGAGACCCUAUGUUGGAAAGUCAUCAGGUUAUGCUGGCAUCAACUAGGGAGUGGAGACCCUAUGUUGGAAAGUCAUCAGGUUAUGCUGGUAUCAACUAGAGAGUGGGGACCCUAUGUUGGAAAAGACGCAGCUGGGGAUCAGAGACCGUAGCUUUGAAUUAUUUUCAACAUUAUUUCUUCUUUUCUUCUUUUAUUUUUCAGAGGAUGAGUGAAUGCGGGAAAGAACUUUGGGGAAGACUUCCCUUUUGAAGUUGUUGUUGCAAAGCUUGUUUCCAGCCCUUGCGCAGUUUUCCUUUUGGUUGCCCCUACUUUUUGCAAGGUUGCUUUCGGGUUUCACCUGUUUCCUGUUUUCUUCAACAAAGAACAAUUUGUCAGUUUGAAACGGUGGUUGGUUUUGUGGCCUUGAUUUUUGGUCACUCGAUCUUGGCCCGUCUUUUGGACGAAGAUUUUGAUUGCUUGCUGGCUCACUGGGGAUUGGUUUCAUUUCUAACCCUGGAGAUCUUGACUUUUCCAAAAUCUUACCAAGACGGUUAAUCACGUGGGACUUAACCUUCGUUAACUUUAUUUUUCCCUUGUGGCACUUUGACUUUAAUCCCUUUCCUUUUGGGAAUUCUUGAUUUCGAAGCAUCAGCUAUCAUGGCCGGUCGAGGUCGACUCGAUGUACCUGCCGAGGCUGGACGCUUUUUGCAUACUAGCUUGUAUCAAAUGAGAACCUUAUAGAUCGGUCUUUCCAUCCUUUUUUUGUCUCAAUUUAGAAUAGAAUUAGACCAAAAGGGAUUGAAAGAAAAUAAACAACGGAAUGGAUAAAUGAAUUUAGACAAGAGGUAUCCCUUUCGAGGAAAGGAAAGAAGGACUUAUCUGGAGUGUAUGCGGACUUCAAUGAAAAUGACAUGCCUCUUGGACUGGAUGCCCGAUCUGUGCGAACCGUCCAACUCUCAGAAAUCCACCAUAACUUAUACCUCAAGAUUGAGAAACCUUGCCCAGGACUAUGUCUAUGUCAGCGACCAAUUAUCCUUUUUUCGAUCAGUGGUGCCCUUUGCGGGUUUUCACCAGCUAACCUCUCUCAUUUCUCUUCUCACCAUCGCCUUGUAGUACUCUUUGUGAGUUUUCACUAACGAGGCUCUCUCAUUUUCAAUUUCUUUGCUUACCAUCGCCUCAUGGUGCCCGUAUGGGUUUUCACCGAUAAGACUCUCUCAUUUUAUUUCUCUCGUUUGGUUGUAUCAGAUCUGAGUAACUGUAUCCUCCAAUUUAGGACAUCUUUACCGAUUGAUCGGAAGGACUUGAAUAGGAUUUGGGAAGAAUUUGAAUUGAAUUACAACUUUGGAACCUUUCAGGCAAAAGCGUCGCCAAACCAUUAUAAAUUCUGCCCCAGUUUCAUCUUCGGGGAAAUUUGGAUUUUUAUUUUGGUGUGACUAAACCCCAGAGUAAGGCUGCCUACGUAUCCUUUCGGAAUCAAGUCGAAUGUAGUUCAAGGAAAUAUUUUGUUUUUGUUUCGUUUUUGUUUUGAUUGAUUGAUUUGAUUUUUUUUAUUUUUUACUUUUUUAAUAAUUGAACUUUCAGGUUCCAAGGAGGGUGAUCAAAGAAGAGUAACCGGCUCAAAGGGUUUACAAAAAAUUGAUAGUGUUUGGGUAGCGAGAAUGAAAGCCUUAGUCAUCCCAACUGGAGAGUGUUAAGACCUUGAAAGGGAUUAAACAUAAUACCUUUUGACCGCAUCCGCAUUGACAGCUGUUUUGGGGUCAUUUCCUUCAAUAUCUCCCAAGUACAAUGCACCUUUUGGCAGCAGUUUUCUUAUAAUGUAUGGACCUUUCCAAUUCGGAGCAAACUUGCCUUUUGCUUCUUCAUGAUGCGGGAGAAUACGUCUUAGAACGAGUUGCCCCACUAUGAAGUUUCUAGGCUGCACUUUCUUGUUGUAAGCACGAGCCAUUCUUUGUUGGUAUAACUGCCCGCGACAAACUGUGGCCACUCGCUUUUCGUCAAUCAUAGUUAAUUGUUCCAGCCGAAUCUUGACCCAUUCAUCAUCCUCGAUCUCAGCUUCAACAAUGAUUCGAAAAGAGGGAAUUUCAACUUCUACAGGUAUUACAGCUUCAGUGCCAUAGACCAAUAAGUAAGGCGUGGCCCCAACCGAUGUGCGCACGAUUGUGUGAUAUCCUAAUAAUGCGAAAGGAAGCUUCUCAUACCGUUGCCUAGAACUUUGGAUCAUUUUCCUGAGGAUCUUCUUGAUGUUUUUGUUUGCUGCUUCAACGACACCAUUGGCUUUAGGUCGGUAAGGGGUAGAAUUACGAUGCGUAAUUUUAAACUGUUCGCAUACCUCCCUCAUCAAAUGACUGUUCAGAUUUGCGGCGUUGUUAGUAAUGAUAGUUUUCGGAAUACCAAAGCGACAGAUAAUGUUGGAAUGUACGAAGUCCACCAUUACUUUCUUGGUGAUGGCUUUAAAAGUGACCGCUUUGACCCAUUUUGUGAAGUAAUCAAUGGCAAUCAAGAUGAAUCUGUGCCCAUUUAAGGCUUUCGGCUCGAUCGGCCUAAUGACAUCCAUACCCCAAGUAACAAACGGCCAAGGUGCUGACAUAGGAUGCAACUCUGAAGGAGGUGCAUGAAUCAGGUCACCGUGUAUCUGACACUGAUGGCACUUCUGGACAAAACUGAAGCAAUCCUUUUCCAUGGUCAUCCAGUAAUAACCUACCCGCAGGAUUUUUUUGCCAGGACAUAUCCAUUCAUGUGGGGCCCGCAUACUCCUGAAUACACUUUGUUCAUGAUCUUUUCUGCUUCUUUGGCAUCUACACACCUUAAAAGAUUCAGAUAUGGAGUUCUCUUAUACAACACUUCUCUACUUAAGAAGAAACUGCUGGCAAGCCUUCUAAUGGUUCUCUUUUGGUCUCUAUUGGCCUACUCAGGGUAUUCCUUUGUUUUCAAGAACCUUUUAAUAUCAUGAUACCAUGGUUGGACAUCUGAUUCUACUUCAACCGUGUUGCAAUAACCAUGUCUUUCUCGGAUUUGAAUCUCCAACGGGUCAAUAUGGACAUUGCCCGAAUAUGGCAGCAUUGCAGCUAAGGUAGCUAAUGCGUCCGCUAACUCAUUGUGAAAUUGAGGAAUAUACCUGAAUUCAAAGGAUUUGAACCAUUUGCUAAGAUCUUCCACAUGCUGUCUAUAUGGGAUAAGCUUGAUAUCUCGAGUUUCCCAUUUGCCUUGUGCUUGCCGAAUGAUCGAAUCAGAAUCUCACAUGAUUAAUAAUUCUUCUAUAUCCAUCUCAAUUGCCAUGUUCAUGCCCAUGAUACAAGUUUCGUAUUAAGCGGUGUUAUUCGUACAGAAGAACCGAAGCCAGGUUCUGGCCGGAUAGUGCUGACCAGUAGGCAAAAUCAAAAUUGCCCCAAUCCCGACACCUUUUGUAUUUACAGCUUCAUCAAAGAACAUUUUCCAAGCAUUUGUGUGCUCUAGAAUUAUUUCAACUGAGUUUACUUCCUCAUCCGGAAAGUAAGUGCUUAGGGGUUGGUAUUCAUCAUCAACCUGGUUCUCAGCUAAAUGAUCGGCUAAGGCUUGGGCUUUCAUGGCUGUGUGGGUGACAUAGACAAUGUCAAACUCAGUGAGCAGGAUCUGCCAUUUUGCCAACCUUCCCGUAGGCAUUGGUUUCUGGAAUAUGUACUUCAGGGGAUCCAUUCUGGUUAUGAGAUAUGUGGUAUAAGCCAACAAAUAAUGUCUAAGCUUUUGAGCGACCCAAGUUAAAGCACAACAAGUUCUUUCCAACAAAGUGUACUUGGCUUCAUAACCAGUAAAUUUCUUUCUCAAAUAGUAUAUGGCUUGAUCUUUCUUCCCGGUCGCAUCAUGUUGUCCGAGGACACAACCAAAAGAAUUCUCUAGAACAAUUUAAGUACAAGAUCAAAGGUCUUCCAGGCUCAGCGGAACCAACACCGGCGGAUUUGACAAAUAUUCUUUGAUUUUGUCAAAAGCUUCUUGACACUCAUCCGUCCUUUUAUUCGUUGCGUCUUUCUUUAGCAGCUUAAAUAUGGGCUCACACGUGGUAGUAAGCUGAGCGAUAAACCUACUGAUAUAAUUCAACCUUCCCAGCAAGUUCAUGAACUCUUUCUUGGUUUUCGGAGGUGGCAGAUCUCGGAUAUAUUUUAUCUUUGUUGGAUCCAACUCAAUACCCCUCCGACUGACUAUAAACCCCAAAAGCUUCCCAAAUGGAACUCCAAAUGCACAUUUUAUCCAGAUUCAAUUUCAAAUCAUACCUGCACAGGCACUCAAAGAACUUUCUCAAAUCCUUCACAUGGUCUCCCUGCAUUUUGGACUUAAUGAUCACGUCAUCCACAUACACCUCAAUUUCCCGGUGCAUCGGUUCAUGGAAAAUGGCAGUCAUAGCCCUCAUGUAAGUUAUCCCGGCAUUCUUCAGACUGAAUGGCAUGACCCUGUAAUAGUAAGUCCCCCAUGGUGUGGUGAAAGCUGUCUUUUAUGCAUCUUUUUCAUCCAUCAGGACUUGGUGAUACCCAGCAUAACAAUCCACAAAAGAUUGUAUCUCAUGUUUGGCACAAUUGUCGAUAAGAAUGUGGAUGUUUGGUAACGGGAAGUUGUCCUUGGGGCUUGCUUUGUUCAAAUCCCUGUAAUCAACACAUACUCGGAUCUUCCCGUCCUUCUUUGGUACUGGGACUAUAUUGGCCAACCAUGUGGUGUAUCAGACUACUCGGAUCAUUAAUCUUAUCGCAACUUCUUCUUUAAUCUUAUCGCUGAUAACUAUUUUGAACUUUAUUUACUUUUAUUGGAUAGGUGGACAACCGGGAUAAGUUGGCAACUUGUGUACCACUAGAUCGACACUUAGCCUUGGCAUAUCGUCACAAGACCAUGCAAACACGUCUUUAAAUUCAAACAAAAGUUGGAUCAAUGCAUCUCUAAUUUUUUCCUCGGAUUGAAUACUUAUCAUGGUCUCCUUGACCUCUUCUGAACUGCCCAAAUUAACUGGCUUGGUUUUAUUUAGGUUUGGCUUAGGCGUAUUCUCAAAUUGUUCCAAUUCUCGAUUUAUUUUGCUAAAAGCCUCAUCUUCAUCAUAUUUUGGUUCUUGAUUCAUUAUUUCACAGUUAGACAGUGUUUUUGGAUCUGGGCAUGAAGUCUGCAACCAUGUCAUGUUAUUUAAGUCCGCAUUAUUAGAACUAAAAAGAGAAAGAAAAGAAAAAUAGCAAAAUUAGAAAGAAUAACAGGGAAAGAUUCACAGACGAUGAAAUAUUGAUUUCAUUUCAUUGAAUUUGAAGAUAGGAUGGUUUACAUCGGAAUUUAAAAAGACAACAAAACUAAAAGCAUUCGAGUUACACCCUGAAAUAACUCGGAAUGUAGAAAAGAUGGCAAGACUAAACUACCGGGAUUCCCACCUGACUGGGAAUGGAGUAGCCUACCAGUUUUGCAAUUUAGCAUUGGUCCACAGGUAUUGCACACAGCAGUGCUCGAGCCUUCGCCCGGUUGGACCAAGUGGACUUCGUAGAUAAUUUUCCUCAUUGCUUCACAUCCUCAACUUCAUCGGCCGUGAAGGCCUCUUCUUCUUCUUCUAUAUAUCUUGGCUUAACAAAUGAUUUGGCGAGGUGCGGGAUUAGCUGAGGCAAAACCCACCCAUCUUUCUUACAUUUAUCGGCCCAUUUUUCAUCGGCAUCGGUGGCUUGGAAACCUAUGCCAAAGAAUUUCUUAUUGGCAGCCAAGGUGACGGGUUCUGUGAUGCCCUGUAAGGAUACCCCGAGCCCUUUUCCAGGCUUGUACCCAUGUUUGAUCAUUUUGCUAGCGACCAUGAUUGAUGCGCUUGAUAACAAGGUUGAGGACAUGGGGUUCCUUCCUCGCACUGGUCGGCGAGCACAAUUUCAAAGGCUUGGUAGACGAUGUGUUCGCUUCCCUCUCUUGCCUCGAGGUAUGUGACUGAGGAUCCCUGUAGAUUGACUGUUCAUCUUCUCUAUGGACCACUAUUUCUUGGUUCUCAUGUUCGAACUUGACCAUUUGAUGGAGAGUAGAGAGCAAGACUUCUGCUGCAUGGAUCUAUGGUCUUCCUAACAGAAAGUUAUAGGAAGUGUCCAUGUCCAGAACUUGGAAUGUUACUUCAAAAUCUACGGGCCAAUGGUUAGGAUUAAGUCAAUCUCCCUUAUCGUGUCCCUCUUGACACCAUCGAAAGCACGCACGCAAACAUUGUUUGGUUUGAUCUUUUCAGUCCCAAUUUUCAUCCUCUGCAAUGUUGAUAGAGGGCAAAUAUCGACUUUGGACCCGCCGUCCAAUAUGAUCCUUUUCACAUAAUAUCCCUCACACUUGAAAGUCAAGUGAAGGGCAUUGUUGUGGGCGGCUCCUUCAGGAGGCAAGUCUUUUCGGCUAAAGGAGAUUCGGUUGACCUCAAAAAAUCGCUCUGCCAUUCAUUCUAACUGUUCAACUGUGGUCUCAAUUGGAACAUACACCUCAUUUAGCGUCUUUAGAAGCACCUUUUGGUGUUCGUUUGAGCUCAUCAGUAGAGACAAGAGUGAAACCUGGGAGGGGGCUUUUCUCAGUUCAUCAAUUACAGCAUACUCCGAGGCUUUCAUCUUCCGUAAGAAUUACUCCGCUUCUUCAGAAAUUACAGGCUUUUUGAGGGGGAAAUGCUUCUGCUUGGUUUUGUUCAAUUCUUCUGGGUUAUGAUACUUCCCAGAUUAGUUUGUUUCAUUAACUUCCCCUUUAAAUUCCUUCCCUUUAUAUGUGACAAUUAUCUUAUUGUAGUUCCAAGGGACGACAAUGGUGUCUUUUAUGGGAUUUUGUGGCAUGCGGCUAAUGGUUAAAGGCUCAUCCAGCCUAGGUGGAAUGACUGGCCUCCGUGCCACGUAAGUCCCUUUUGGUACAUACAUUUUUGGUAGAUUUGGUAUGGUUUUCCUCUGCUUUAAUCUCUUGGGAGGGCUUAAAAUGAGUUGUCCCUUUCUGGGGGCUCUUGGGACGUAGAGAAUGGCCUUUGGCAGGUGUUGCCCCUGUCUUUGCUUCCCCGUCCUUUUCUUUAUUUUGGGGAGUGGAAUUCAUCUUUUUCUCAUCCCUGACCUGUUUUGCCACUGCUUUAGUUUUCUUCUCUGAAUCAGCAAUGGCAAUAAUCGCUUUUAAUGCGGGGUCGAAUUCUUUGUCUUCACAGAUCAUCCCGAUGACCGGCCUGUUGUUGUGGGCCGGUAACGGGUUGUUAGUUACAUUAGGGACUUCCUCGUCCCUUAACACUACCCGCUUUUGUUCUAUCAGAUUCUCGACUGCUCUCUUAAGGGUCCAACAAUCUUCAGUGUCAUGCCCUUCCGUCCCUGAGUGGUAAGCGCACCUGGUACUUCGCCUGUAGGAUGGAGAUUCCGGGUUCUGUCUGUUCAGAGGUACAGGCUGUAACAUGCCUAUUUGGUCUAAUUUUGGGAAGAGGCUGGAGUAAGAUUCACCGAUGGGGGUGAAGUCAGUUUUCCUGGGUGGUUCACGGGGAAGGGUGUUAUAUUGGUAAUUAUUCUGUGGUGGACGGGGAUUAUACGGAGCUUGGUGAGGAGGGUUGUUUCUUGGAGGUAGAGCUCUGUUUUGGUUGUAAUGCUGUUAUGGCCUGGUGUAUGGUUGGGCAUUCAUUACUGCAUAAGGAUGAGGGGCCAUAACAUAGGCUGCAUCCUGGUGGGGGUAAUAAUGUUGCGGGACCCUGGAAGACGGACCGGAAUAAUCCCGGGGUCGCCGAGAAUUUCUUAAGCUUGAAGCCAUCAUAGCUCCCUCUUCUUUUUUCUUUCGGUUGGUCAAACCUCCCGAGCCGCUCUGAAUGGCUUGGGAAGUGGCUCUUAAAGCUGAUUGACUUAAGAUGCGGCCUGUUUUUAGGCCAUUUUCUACCAUUUCUCUAAUUUUAAUGGCCUCCGCGAACGGUUUGACCAUGGCAGAUAUCAUGUUUUGGAAAUAAUCGGCAUCUUAGGCCUUUAAGAAGACACUGACCAUCUCGGUCUCAUCCAUCGGGGGUUUUACCCUGGCCGCUUGUUCACUCCAUUUGAUAGCGUAUUCUCGGAAGCUUUCCAAAGCUUUCUUUUUGAGGUUGGAUAAAAAAUUUCUGUCUGGAGCUAUGUCCACAUUGUAUUGGAAUUGCCUUAUGAAAUCCCGAUCUAGGUCAUCCCAUAUAUGCCAACAGGAGAUGUUUUGGUCCAUAUACCACUCAGAAGCAAUUCAGGUGAGGCUUUCUCCGAAAUAGGCCAUUAAUAGCUCCUCUUUUCCACUGGCACCCCUCAGUUGGUUACAAUAUCGCUUUAAAUGAGCAGUCGGGUCUCCAUGCCCGUCAUAUCUUUUGAACUUUGGUGUUUUGAAGCCGAUGGGUAAAUGCACGUGAGGAAACAUGCACAGAUCCGCAUAUGAAAUGCUCUUCUGGCCACACAGGCCCUGCAUGUUCUUGAGGCUUUGUUCGAUGCUUUUCAUUUUUCGUGCUAUCUCUUCUUGUUCAGGAUUCCUCACGACUUUCUCAUGUUCUACGGGAGACACAAAUUGUGGGUGCUGAGGAUAGGAAUUUGGGGUAACCCGAGUGGUGUCCAAUUGGAAUUGGGGAGCUUGGAAAGUAAAAGUUGAUGGUUCAAAGGUUUGUCAAGGCAGUGUUGGUUGUGCCAUGCUAGAGGCUGGUGGUGCUGUGAACACUAUAGAUGAUAUUGCUGAAGAUGGUGCCUGGGGGCGAACCUCAGAAGGCAUACCAGCGAAGUUGGUUGACAUGGUGGGGUACCCAAACGGGAUGAAUGGGUUGGUCACUGGGAUAGGGACAUUGGUGGUUCCUCCCGUCCUGGGGAGCAAUUCACGAAAUCUAGGGAUAGUACUGGGUGGUUCCCUGCCGUUGGACCAUGCGUCCCAUAUUUCUAGCAUACGACAUCGUAGCCUUAUAUUUUCUUCAGCAGCUGCUGACUCUGACUGCAGGAUAACCGAUACCGGGAUAUCCUCGGGCUCAAUGAUGGGUAGAUGACUUUCUGAGGUCAUGGCCAUACUUCCUUUAGAUCUCAUAAAAUAAGGGUGUGAAGCCAUAUUACCACCACAAAACCAACCACCUAAAAAUAGAACCUGUUCUUUUAGAGCACACACAACAAACCGGUUAGUUUGAGACAUUUAACACAUAGGGAAUUGCAUAUUGGGGGAUGCAAUGCACCUAAACAGUUAAACAUUUUCCUAAAUAUUUUGCAACGGCUGUGUGUUUCAUCCCGGCUUUAUUGUCUCUCUUUUUUUUUCUUAAUUACUUUAUUUAGGGUUAUGAACAAAUCCUACAUGUAUUGCCUACGUAUCAUGACGCCGCAUGAAUCAGAUCAUUAAGUAGUUCAGGGGAUAGGUAUGAAGUAACAAAGCACAUUGUUUUUUUCAUUUCAUUAACAAAGAUAUCUCUUUUAUUUGGUUUUUCAUUACAGGGAAUUAGAGAACUAAUGACUAUAAAGAAAAACAAUACAGACUCAAAAUAAAUGACAAACCAAUUUUGAACAAAACUCUAGAAAGCAGUAAAGUACAGACUCGAAAAUUGGAAAGUCAAAAGUACAUGAGAGCCUCUACUGGUCUUCUUGGAGCCUGUGGGGCAUUAGCUGGUCUUUGCGCGGGCCUUCACGCAAUAUCUUCUUGAAGAUGGUCUAAGUUAUCCAUUGCCUGGUAGACGAAGGUCAUCAUAGAAGCGAAAAACAUGGACCUAGUCAUGUCUUCACACUCAUGACAUUUUAUCACGACAUAAUCAGCUAUCUCCUUAAUCCUGGUUCUGAUAACUCCUUUCUCUUGAAGUAGACGCCCAAUUUGCUACGCCCGAGCCUCCAACACUUGUGCGUUGGUAUUGUUUUGGUCCUGUAGUUGUUGCACGCUUUCUUCUAUUUGGCAAAUUAGUGCGUAGCAGUGCUCCUUUUUGUCUUAAAAUCUUUGGUUUGCUGGACCAUUUCAUUCCCAAGGGAAAAAAACUUUUCCUUUAGAAUUGUUAUUUCUUUGCCAUAUUUUUGUCUCAAAUGGUGGGCCUGUUCUUCUGCUCCUUUGGCCAACUUUGUUUGAGCAUUUAGCAAAUCUUUUUCGGCCUUUAUCAAGUCAGCUGCAUAGUUGUGUACCUUCAUUCUUAAGUUAUUGAUGAUUUUUUCAUCUCUCUCGCUCCUUACAGGAGUUUCGAUGGCUAUCCUCAUGUCCCGGAGUUGGGCUCGGAGCGCCUCGUUCUCUCGGCUCAAUUUUCUCUUUUUACCUUCGGUUACCUGUGCCUGUAAGUCAUUGUCGAAUGCGAGGUUCCUCAACUUUUCCUCUAAGGCAUGGAUGGUGGCUUUAUAUUUCUUUUCCUUUUCUCCCCAGGCCAAACGUUCUCGGACUUUGUCAUCAAAAGCUUGAACAUGAGGCCUCUUGGCGGGCCUUUCUGGCUCGGUCUCCGGUUCCUCAUCAAUGCAAUUCCUUUUUUCGAACCAUGCGGCAUAGCCCAGAUUUACUUCGCCUUUGGCAAGAUCAGGCACUUGGGUGUCCUCUUUUAAGUAUCGACACCCAUUCCAAAUUUGUUGAAUUAAAGCUUCGGGAAGUGGGGCUUCGGGAUGUAGCUCAAUAACUUGGACACUCAAGUCUUCAUCCUCAGGAACUACUUGAUACCUUCCCAAUUGUCUUAGAACCCUUUGCAGCGCAUAUGGUUGGACACUUCUCAAGCCCAUCAAUAGCAAAUAAUUUUUUGUGGCUAUCAUGUAUAUGACUUCCCUCACUGGGAGCCAUCCUAAAGUCCACUCAAUCUGAUUCACCUUUAAAGUUCUUAAGUGGGCGAUCCAAGCUUCAACCCCUUCUAGAGAGUUAUAAUCUUUUACCCUCUCCUCAUAACUCUUAAUGAAGUUGCUCUUGCUUGGGCCGUAACUUAUAAAUUUCGGAUAAUGGCGAAGAUAUUCAAUUAACCACAUUUGUAGAAGGAUAUUGCAACCUUCAAAGAAUGUCGCCCCAGCCUUACACCGGGUUAAUACCUGAUAGAUAUCCGACAAUAUAAGUGGAGCAAGUGUGUGAUCUUCUUUGGCAGUUAGGACUUGUGCAAUUCUAGCCAUACAGAUAUCUAUUGUUCCUUUUUCAUUUGGGAAGACCAUGAUGCCUAGGAGUGCCACUAUGAAAGCAAAGCGACGAUGAGUUUUCCAAGUAUUUUUACUUUGCUUGUUGUUCAACCCCUUUUCAUGCGUUUCAAACCCAUUUGGAUGUCCAUACCUGGAGUACAGGAAGUAGAAAGAGCAACAUCCAUCGUUUACAUUGUUCUUCUUUAUUUGUUUUUUGAUGUUCAAGAUAUCAAAGAACCGACGCAUAGAGGGAGGCCUUAGGAAUAUAAGUUGUUAUUUUCUUAAGUCCCGGCCGAAAUCAAUAUAUCCGGCUAUUUCCUCCAGAAUGGGAGUGAGCUCAAAGUCCGAGAAGUGAAAGACAUUGUGAACGGGAUCCCAGAAGGGCACUAAAGCCUUGAUUAGAUAAUUCUGGGGCUUGACUUUCAUAAUAUCCGUGAGAGCACCCAAAUGUUCUACUACCCAGUCUUGACCAUCUUUACCCAAGUCAUACCAUCACAUUUGAAGCUGCAGUGGAGCCUGCUCUAUAACAUUUAACGGCGGGUUCUGGAAAGUGUUUAUUUUGUACAUGUGAAUGGUUAGGGUUGAUUCUAGUUCAAAAGACAGACUAGCGGAUUCUUUUGCAAAAAUCAGUUCUCAAUUUUUCAAAGGGAAAUCACCUGAAGGUGGCUAUUUGUGCAGCAUUGGCCAAAAUGAUCAUCUUUGCAAUAAUGGCCCCUUCCUACUUUCAAAUAAAAUUUUGAGGCCGGGGUAAGGCACUUUAUGGGAAAAGUGAUGCCUUAUUGACAGACAUGUACGUUCUUGGCGAGAAUAGACCUUCGACAAUUUAAAGGUAUUCUAAGGCUAUUCCGGCAAAAAUGGCGCAGGACUUAGCCAAAGCUGGGUCGGUUUUAUUUUUUGACCAAUGGACAUACUUUAUUUAUUUGGUUAGAAAAUUGGGGUCGACACCGAUGAGGUUUGCCUACGUAUCUCACAUCCGGUGAGAAUCAGGCCCGCAUAGUUCGGUCAGUUUUGACAUCAUUGGAAAAGCAUGAUAUUGACUUACUUUGAAAUGCAUUUUCUUUUUCUCUCUCUUUUUCAAAAUAUUUUGGCAGAGUUUCGAGGCAUUUUCAAAUACCGGAAUUUUCAGAACUGGGUGAAUUUUCUAUCCUACCUCACUCUUGGUUUUUCUGUUGUUUUUAUUUUCUUAACCGGUCAACAAACAAACCGAAACAAAUAAAUGCGCACAUAGCACGUAAGAUGCAUCAGGAUGGUCUUUUAUUUCGGGUACACUUGUCCUAGACGGACCCAACCCCUGUGUUGAGUUCCCAAAAGUCAAAUGCACAUGAUGCAAACAAACGUUCCUACUAGGGAUCCAGCAUGAGGCUAUGUUAUUCUAGGUUUAAACCUGGGGUGUGUUCUAGACAUGGCUUACCCAAGCGGACAGCUUGAGCCAAGGUGGGAGCGACGUACCGAGAGCACGAAAGUCUAUCCGGCCUAGUGGCUGAUCCAUCCUCGUUCUAUUUGGUACGAUCUCUAACAUAAAAUUGGGCCACGCAUACGUAUGCACUAUAUUUUAGAAGACUCAAAAAGGAGGUGUAAGAAGACAGUAAUAAAGUUCAAAUAAUCUCAAAGCGGUAAAUGAGCGGCAAUUAGCACAUUAGGCCCACAAAUACAGUAUUAUCAAUAAUGAAUAAAGCCAAGUACAAAUUACAUUACAAGCUCGAAUUCUGGAACCCUGAACCAGAGAUUUUGGGUUCGAUCCCCAGCAGAGUCGCCAGAGCUGUCACACCUCCUUUUUCCCGAUAGGGAUAGGGGAUAAGGAAAUUUUUCUAAUUUAAGUGACAUUAUUCGAAUUGAGAUUAUUUUUAUUUUUUUCAGAGUCGCCACUUGGAAUAUUUAGGGUGUUCCAAGUCACCGAUUUAUUUUAAAUCUCAAAUUGAGAAAAUUUGACUCGGUUUAUGGUCCGCGAACAUAGAAGACCGAGUAAGGAAUUCUAUUAACUCGGGAGAAGGUGUCAGGCACUCCCGAAUUCCGUAGUUUUAGCACGGUCUCUUUAAUCAUAUAUGACUUAAUUAGAUUGUUUAAUCACAUAUUUUAAAACCUAAGUAUAUUUUACCUUUUACCACUUUUAAUUAUGACAUUUAUCGAUUUAAUCUUUGAAACAGACUACAUGUGUGUAAGUCUGCUUUGUUUGGGGCACUAAAAUCAUGUCACGUGAACGAGUACAUAAUUAAUUGUGCUUUAUUAAUUUAAGAUUGUUUGGCUGAAGUUGCGUGAAUGCAUACCUCGAUUAAUUUUGGAUAUCGGGAUCACGUCACGUGGCAUGUACGCAUUCACGAUAGUAGUUUAAAAUCCGCGCCUAAAGUAUUUUUACGAGUGUUUAAUUAAGGCAUUUUAUUUACUAAGAUUGUUUGACCAUGGUCACGCGAACAUGUACCUUAGUUUGUUUUUGGCAUCACAACUAUGUCACGCGUGCGUGUACAUAAUUAUAAUAAUUAAGUUGAUUAUAAAUACCUUAAGUUAUGCUUAUGUCUCUAAACUAAAUACUCUAUGUCAUAUGGCUAAGUGUAAAUGUUUAAUACUAGGUGAUAUGAUUGUUUGCAUUAGAUGGGGGCAGCCUAUGUAUUAUCUGUCAAGAGGUCCCCGAUUUAAAGUUUGAGGUCUGAUAAGGAUUGAGUCCAAAUGAACUCUAACCCAAGACAUAUAUUUUCGUUAAUGGGCCUAGCUAAUGGAUUCAGUUCAAAAGGAUUUGGGCCUGCUUGAGUCUAAUUGACUCUGGCCCAAUGCAUAUUUUAAGGCAGCUAAAUGAAUUCAGUCCAAACGAUUUGGGCCUAGUGAUCAUGGAGUCCAAAUAACUCUGGUCCAAUACCAUGUUGUUAAGCAAUCAAUCAAUUAAACAUAUUUAAUUCAGAAAGAUUUGGGCCUGAUGAUGAGUCCAAAUGACUCUGGCCUAAUGUUCAUUUUUAUGGACAACUAAAUAAAAUUAACUAAAGACAUUUGGGCCUGGUGAUAAUGAGUCCACGUGACUCUGGCCCAACUCAAUGUUAUUAACCAUUCAAUCAAUUAAACAUAUUUAAUUCAGAAAUAUCUGGGUCUUAUGAUGAGUCCAAAUGACUCUGGCCCAAUGUUAAUUUUUAUGGACAACUAAAUAAAAUUAACUAAAGACAUUUGGGCCUAGUGAUAAUGAGUUCAUGUGACUCUGGCCCAGUGUAUAUUUAUGUGAAUGAGUUUGAAAUUAAAAUUUGUAACAACAAUUAUCAGAUUUUACCUAUAUUUUGUUUAUCUUUUAAAACAGAAAACUAAAAAGGGUCUGGGGACACGAACCAAAAUUAAAAUUGGAUAAUUUUCUUUUGAUUGCUUAGAUCUCCUAUUUCUUAUAUUAACAUAGUGAUAAGUUUUAAAACUCAUUUGCAUUUGAAAAUCUUAAAGUGUAAAGGCCUUUAAUCAACUCAUUUUUAUUAGCCAAAGACCCAGAGUACAAUCUCAUGGACCCAAUUGAUUUGGGUCUGAAUUCGUGCCCUAAUUACUGUUAGGUUGCUUGUAAAAUCCAGCUUUUUAUGAUUUUUAACUAAUAGCAUUGGAAUUACUAUAUUUUAAUUAUUUAAUGACAUAGUAAAGCUACUAACUAACGCAUUGUAUGAGAGGAUAUAAUAUAAAACAGAACUAAAUUAUUACAUCUCACUAACAUGGAAAGUGAUAACAAAUCUGCCUACUACUAAUCUAACAAAUUUUCUAGGAAAAAGAAUGCUAUCUUGUUUUUACUAUUCGAACAUACCGAUCUUAUGACUACAUGAAGCUUUAAACAUAUUUUAUAAUUUUUCCAGAACCCUUUAACAUGAAGCUAACAUAACUUAAAUUGCCUAAAACAGUAUAAAUAAUUAACUCUACAUACUUUCAUACAUAACUCUCAACCAAACAACUUCAAACAACAUGAUUCAUGCAGUGCUCAGAUGAAGUAGAAAUUUUUGAUAACCAGCAAAAAUAAAACUUUACAUUGUUAAAAGAAAAUACCUUGAUAGCAGCAAGCAAACAACAUUUAAGAAAAUAAGUCUCUAAAAGCUUGAAGUAAAGCAGCAGCAAUGAAACCGAGUAGAAUAAGAAGACGACCAGAUUUUUAAAAAUAGGAAAGGAAUGUAUAUUUUUUAUUCUAAAAGAUCAAGGUUGAUUUUCAGAAGUUUUUCUUUUGAAAGAGAGCAAAAUCUUAAGGCAGUCUAUAUGUGUCCAUAAUGUGUCUUCAGAUCCUUUUCUAAUGAAGAAAGAGGAGUGUAUUAUAUUGAGUGAGGGAGUGAAAAAGGAUGAGAAUUAGGUACAAAAGAAUCUGCCAGAAUUCCCUCUAAAUUACGAAAAUGGCAUCUUUCUUAACAGAAAUGGACAAUUGUCUAAUUUCUAGUACUUUCCUUAUCUCAGAAAAGGGACAAGUGCCCAAUUUCUGGAUAUUUUUGGAUCUUAUCCCUAUUUUCCUACUCAGCAUUGGGACAGUUUUCCCUAUUCUAAGAGUUUCAAGUAUUUUUUGAAUAAUUUUCAAAAUUAGGAUUCCAAAACUGACCCUUAAGGGUCUUGGAAUUAUCUCAGAACUAGAUUGGUUCUGGGCCUGAGUCAGGUGACUCGCGGCCUAAGGACCUUGGGCUCUUAAGCUUUUACAAAGCUAUGGACCUGUUUAUUCAGACAGGCCCAAUUUAUGAGCCAAGUAGAAUGUGCCACUUCAGUGAGGCCCGGUUCUUAACCAAACCAUACAACAGUAAAAAUAAAUAAAAAAGAACGGCAAUUAAUUUAACAAAAAUAAAUAACACACCAGUAAUAUUAAAAAUAAACUUAGAACUAAUAAAGAUAAAAAAAUAAAUAAUAAAAAANNNNNNNNNNNNNNNNNNNNNNNNNNNNNNNNNNNNNNNNNNNNNNNNNNNNNNNNNNNNNNNNNNNNNNNNNNNNNNNNNNNNNNNNNNNNNNNNNNNNNNNNNNNNNNNNNNNNNNNNNNNNNNNNNNNNNNNNNNNNNNNNNNNNNNNNNNNNNNNNNNNNNNNNNNNNNNNNNNNNNNNNNNNNNNNNNNNNNNNNNNNNNNNNNNNNNNNNNNNNNNNNNNNNNNNNNNNNNNNNNNNNNNNNNNNNNNNNNNNNNNNNNNNNNNNNNNNNNNNNNNNNNNNNNNNNNNNNNNNNNNNNNNNNNNNNNNNNNNNNNNNNNNNNNNNNNNNNNNNNNNNNNNNNNNNNNNNNNNNNNNNNNNNNNNNNNNNNNNNNNNNNNNNNNNNNNNNNNNNNNNNNNNNNNNNNNNNNNNNNNNNNNNNNNNNNNNNNNNNNNNNNNNNNNNNNNNNNNNNNNNNNNNNNNNNNNNNNNNNNNNNNNNNNNNNNNNNNNNNNNNNNNNNNNNNNNNNNNNNNNNAGUAUAUAUAUAUAUAUAUAUAUAUAUAUAUAUAUAUAUAUAUAUAUAUUAAGUUUGUUUAAUUUAAACGAUUUAAAAAGAAUAUCAAACAGUAAUAAAUAAAUAAAAUAAAGAAAAAAGAACAGUAAUCGACACAAAAUAUAAAGAUGAAAAACAGGAAAUAACAUAAAAUAUACCAAAAAUAAAAUAGAUCUAGCCGCUAAAAACCCUCAUGCUAAGACUCCCAUCUGGGAUCUGAGAUCCUUGAUGGGAGAUCUUGGCAGGAGGAUUAUUAAACGGAUUAGGUUGGAUUUAGGGUUUUGAAAAAUAAAUCUAGGGUUUCGGAGACCCUAGAUCUAAGAUCUAUGAUUAUUGGUAGGGUUUUGGGGGAUUUGGUUGGUAAGGUGAGGUUCAAAGAGGUGAGGGGAGUGUAUAGGGUAAGUUUGAGUGGCUUUGGAGGUCCACCGCCGCCGUAGGGCAAUUUUCGGCGGCGGCGUGGCAGGAGCGUAUUGGGGCGGUUAGGGUUUGGUUAGAGAGAGGUGAGAGAUGGAUCGUCUCUAGGGUUAGAGAGAGGGGGGAGACGAAAUGAGGGGGUAGGAGAGGGUUUGUACACUUAUAUGUUAAGUGACAAGUGAGUUCUGAGCCGUUGGAUCUUGUGAAGAUCAACGGCAAGGAUCGCCUGGCAUUUAAAUGGCGUCGUUUAGAUUAGUGUGGGGCUGGGCGGAUUCUGGGUAUUGGGCUCGGGUGUUUUGGGCUAGAUUUUGGGGAUUGGGCUAGUUUUUACAUUGGCCCAGUUAGAUUUUAGGCUAAUUAAACCCCUUUUUGUUUAAUUAACUUUUAAAAAUCUAUCUAUUUGUAUUAUUUACAUAAUUAGUUAAUCUUCAAUUGUUAAAAGGAAAAAUUACUAAAUUUAACACUAAAACUAAAAAUGUCAAAAAUAAACCAUAUUUGUAUUGUUGUUUUCUAUGAUUUCAAAAAUGCUAAAAAUGCAUGAGAAAUGCAACUAAAUGCAAAUGAUUUCAAAUAAUUAACAAAAAUCCUAAAAAUAAAUCUAAAAAAAUAAAUAUGAAUAAUUUAUUUAUUAAUUUUUAGGAAUAUUUUGGUAGGGUAAAAAUUACAUGCUCACAACACUAAUUGCAUCUCAAUUUCAAACUAGUAGUAUAUUAUCCUCGCUAUCCAUUUUGUCCCAUUUGCAUUUCACUCCAUUUUGGGGAGAAAAGGAAAAAAUCAUCAUGUCUUUUGCCUUAAAGAAGAAAAUGAAGAGAAAUUUCUUUGGAUGUGUGAGAGCAAGGUGUGGUUGUAUUGAUUUGUACAACUUGUGCUCAAUACAUUGUCCUUAAAAUGAAUGUCUUAGCCUUACAAAAAUGUGGAUGUAGGUGCCUUUGAUAAUCAAUACUCCUUUGUCAAGCUGCAGCUUUUGUAUUGGCACUAAAAGUAGUUCUGCCAUACUGUUAGUCUGUUACAGCGUAUGUGACUAAACAUUUGCAGCUUAUCUAGGUUCUACUUCAGGUGGAUGUAUAACUACGAUUGAACUAUCAAUGGUGUCACAAUCUUUUGCCUGUAGGACAAACAAUAUGGCUUUUGCUACAAAAUUCCCGGGCCAGGAUAAAGCAUUCAUUUAUGUUGGGCUAAACCAGCCUGCAUAUAUUCUUAACAUGGUGUGAUAUUGUCCGCUUUGGGCCAAGCCCGCAUGGAUUUCCUAAAAGGUCUCGCACCAUUAAGAGAUCCAUACACCUUAUAUGUAUGUUCUCAAUCUUUUCAGCUACCAAUUUUGGACUUUGUUCACACACCCAACAAUCUCCCUCUUGAACUGGCCCAUCACCAUGAUCCACAGGUCCCCCCUCCAACUAAAUUCGGUGUGGUCCAUUACCGCGAUUUGCGGGUCAAAGAUUCAACGUGUGCCACCCACAUCGCUUAGGUAUUUUUGGCAAACGAAGUCCGCAACUAGCUUCUUCUUUUGUGUGUGCAUCCCCAAGCUCGUAAGUGUAAGCAAAUCGAGCCUGGCACCAUCACUCAGCCAUCGCCAUACUCGUCCCGUUAAACCUGGGUUAUGAUAUCAGUUGUUGGGUUAAAACAACCCAAAAAUACUCUUAACAAUUUAUUUAUGUGUUCUAAAGAUCCUUAAUUUAUCGAUCAACAGAUGAAGUCAUCAAGUCUUAAUAUUUAGAUGAAAGAAAACCACAAAAGCCUUUGUAAAAGGAGCACUGUUGCAUGCUAACAAACUUGAUUUAAACUGAUAUUUUAUUUCAUGUGUUUGAUGUAGAACACAUGAAAGGAGAAAAGCUCCUGGCCUCUGAUUCUUUUGCAGAUGUGGCUACUCGUUGCUGCAUUGCUUGAAAAUCAAUAAUUGACUUACUUUUAUGAGAUGCUUCUUACAUCCAGCAACCCAAUCAUUAAACAUAAUGAUAUUAAAUAUCCAAAUAACGCGUCCUUACGCGGUUAUUUGGAUGCUGAAGAUUGACAAGAAAGACAAGUCAUCGGUGGGGCACUACAAGGGCUAGCCCUUUCUACGAUUCUUGUUUUACCACUACAAUUGAUCUUAUUUAGAACCCUUUAUUCUGAUAAGAUUUAAGAGAGCAUAAACUCAGCUGUCAAACCUGUAUGGGUCAAAAUCUGCCUCCUCAGUGGGUUUUAGCAUGGAGCGGUAUCGUGGAAAGCGAUAUGGUCGAGGUCGACUAGUGGAUAAUAGGGCUCGUAGCCGAGCAGUCAAUAACGGCUGAGGUCGAGUAUCAAGGGCAGAGCUAACGGCUAGCUUUUGUAAUAGGAAAUUUAGGAAAAUAUUUCUUGAUGUUUGUACUUUUAGGGUUGACUAGGGUAUGUCCCAUAUAAAUAGAAAAAGAGAUAGGAGGAGAGGGGCAUGCAACAUUCUAUGAUAAGAACACUAUUUGAGAAAAAAGACUUUCUCUCUAAAAAAAGAUGCAAACACUACAUUUCUGAAAAGAUUCGAUUAUAUAUUAUUCCGGGUUAUUUUCACCUGUGGUCAUUCAACUAAAUAUUAGUUUCACAAAAGUUCUCAACUUUUAUUUUCCACUUUACAAUAACUCAACUAAUAGGUUAUAACUCUGAAUUCAUUUUGGUUGUUCCCAUUUGCUAAUUGCUCUUUUAGAAUGCCACAUCAGCAUCUAAUAUCCCAUUUUUAAAAUUAACCCAUUACUCCCUCCGAUGCACUUUAAUUAAAUUAUUCUAAUUAUUCUAAAUUAUUCUAAUGUUGUCUUACCUAGCAACAUAUUCUAACGUUGUCUUGUCUAGCAAGUGAAAUGUUAGGCAUUAUCACGGUCCCGUUAAAAAUUUCGGGUUGUGACAGAUAAAUAUGAUCCUUACCGUUUAUCAUGUGCCUCAAAUUCAAGCAUUAGUAAUGGAAAUAUUUCUCGUAAGCGUUUUCCGUUUUAAUUGGCUCUACACGGGAAGGGAUGAACUUAAAUUAGUCGAGCUAAUGAAUACAUGAUGGAUGGUUAUUAAACAAAAAAAAAAGGUUAAAGAACUUGUAGGCCAAUUAUUUUUCAUAACCUUAAUUUGUGAUUUAAUUUUGAGCUAAUCCGCUUUGUUUUAAUUUUGGACAAAAUUGUACUUCCUCCGGACCAUUUUAAUUGAUUUUUUUAAAAGUUUUCACACAUAUUAAGGAAUUAAGCUUUUAGCAUUAAUUGACAAUGAAACUAGACAUAUUAACCUUAAUUUAUCCGUUAAAAAUACAACAAUACUCCUAGCAUGUUUACUUCAAUGGCAACUUUGAAAAAAAAAGUUAAUUACUUUUUGAUAUCUGAAAAAAUCAAAUAUUAUGGACCACAAAAAAAGACUAAAAAAUUAAUUAAAAUGCACCGGAGGGAGUAAUGGAUUAAUUUUAAAAAUGGGAUAUUAGAUGUUGAUGGGGCAUUCUAAAAUUUUGCAAUUAGCACAUUUCAGUUGCCAUGACAGAUUUCCGGCGGGUAUAUGUUGAGGGAACAACCAAAAUGACUUUAGAGUUAUAGCCUAUUAGUUGAGUUAUUUUAAAGCGACAAAGGAAAGUUGAGUGACUUUUGUGAAACUAACAUUUAGUUGAAUGACCACGGGUGAAAAUAUACUUUUUCAUCAGAUCUGAGAAUAGUUCCAAUAUUACAGUAUAUGCCUAUCACUCAUCCGAGAAUAGUUCCAAUAUUACAGUAUAUGCCUAUCACUCAUCACUGUAAGAAGGAGGAAUCAUCCACCCCAUUCGAUAUUGGGUGAAUCAUUCUCCUUAUUUACGUUAAUGUCAUCUAUAAUUAUGUCUUCUACUUGAAAUUCUUCUAUCAUUAAUGAUCUGGAAAUAUUGAAUGUACGCAAUAUUUAAUCCUUCGCGAACAUUGUCCGGUUUUAUUUGAGUCAACUAGUUAUAAAUCUGAGAAUAUUAUUAUUAACUAGGUUUAAUCCUUUUUUAUAUAAAAUUAGUUAGUUUAAUCAAAAGGCUACAUUUUUUUUGUCAAACAAAGCCGAUAUCUUAAUUAAGCAUUAUUCGCAAAAGUAGCAUUUGCUAAAACUUACCUUCUGACAGCACUAUAGGAAUAUGCAAAAUUCAAAAGCAACGGCUAUUUUUAUCAUUGCCGUGAGGAUGUAGAUUCUGGCAAGUAUUAUUGAGGAGGAUUGGCCCCCUUUACAGAGUGGUCACAUAUAUAGAAUAAAGGAUGGAGUUUUAUCUGAGGUUUUCUUAUUCAGAAUAUUCAUCUUGUCUGGUUAGAAAUGGUGAUUAGGAUUCCUCCUUAUCAAAUCCUAUGUCAACAAGCGCUAUGUUGCGCGGACUCUUCACAACGAUGCCGCACCCGUGUCAGAUCCUCCAAAAAUACACUUUUUUGGAGGAUCCGACACGCACCCGGCAACAUUUUCGGAGAGUCGGAGCAACAUAGAACACGCGAGCUUCUGUGCUUAGGUGGAAUCAUCUAUGGUUGCCUUGUCAGCAUUUGUGGCCCUGAUAAUUGGUCAAAUGGCUUCAAGUCAUUGUCAAUCUCACAUUAAUACUUGAUUUUGCCCAAUGUGAACAUCAUAUUAUGUGUUUGUAUGAGGCCUUGAUUACAAGGCUUCGAAAUCAUAAAGUUCAAAUCUUGUGCCAUGCAUCACAUUCAGAAUCUUCAGAGAAUACUGAUUUCUUUAUUGAUGAAAAACAAAGGUAAACGCCAUUUGAUCGUUUACCUUAAUACACUGUCUCAGGUACCUGUCAAGAAAGAGGUAUUUCUCUUAAAAUUGAUAUAUUUAAUACUGUCAGGAAUAAUGCAACUUUCAUGUCUUGUCCCGAAUUCAUGUCUGUGCCGAUAAAAGCUGUUAACAUUCUUAGCAAUCUACUUGGUGAAACUAAGGACUGGUCUAUUAACAUCUAGAGUGCUUUGACAUGGUGUUUAACUUGUAUCAUAUCAAUCGCAAUUGAAAGCUGACCAGCAUAUUAUGUGUGAUUAUAAGAGUUGUAAAGCUAGUUUUAUGUGAAAAUAGACAAGUAAACACAGAUAUGACUGAACAGGAGAUGAAAAUAAAACCACUUUAUUCACUUUUGAAUUAUUAAGAAGAAUAUUACACAAAAGAAUAAUAGGACUUGAAUCUGCAUUAUGAGGGAAUUGAUUCCUUGGUGGUAAACUUUGUUACAGUUUUUGCCCCUUUACAACCUGGACCAUUUUCCACCUGAACGACAUUAGCCUUCGCGUCAGGCAGUUGCUUGCAUUAACAAUAUGGAUUACACAUGUUCAUCUAAGAACGAGAACAUGGUGAAAUAACCCCACCUUUCACAUAACAUCUUCCCCUCAUAAUACCUGCUAGAAAUGGAUACAGAACAAAGAAUAAUAUUUUGACAAGGUCUUUUUAGUAGAAUAAUGGACCGUCGAACAGGUAAAGAGGGGCAUUAUUGGAUUUCUGCAACAAAAUAUUGCUUCACAUGCAUGAAUAUGACAGUUGACAACUUCAGAGUGCCAUACCUCUACAGUCAAGAAAAAAGGAAAGUAGGAGGUUUAUCCAACUCUUUUUUGGAAAAUUUGCGCUACCUUGUGGAAUCUCAUUUAAGGAAACCAUUUGAAGCUUACAACAGAUCAAAAAGUAAACUUUGGGGCCCAAACAAUGAGAUCUUCCAACUAUAUAUACCUCCCCAAACCAUUCAUCAAAAUU